This 478-nucleotide ribosomal RNA is filed under the name Parapimelodus valenciennis. RNAcentral's name for it is "partial 12S ribosomal RNA". It matches the Rfam family "Bacterial small subunit ribosomal RNA", at positions 864 to 1533 of the family's 1533-position model. The record is from RNAcentral. Lineage: Eukaryota; Metazoa; Chordata; Actinopteri; Siluriformes; Pimelodidae.
CACAUCCGCCCGGGUACUACGAGCAUAGCUUAAAACCCAAAGGACUUGGCGGUGCCUCAGACCCACCUAGAGGAGCCUGUUCUAGAACCGAUAAACCCCGUUAAACCUCACCACUUCUUGUUUUUCCCGCCUAUAUACCGCCGUCGUCAGCUUACCCCGUGAAGGCCUAAUAGUAAGCAAAAUUGGUACAUCCAAAAACGUCAGGUCGAGGUGUAGCGUAUGAAGUGGAAAGAAAUGGGCUACAUUUUCUAUAAACAGAAUACUACGAAUGGCACUCUGAAAACAUGCCUGAAGGUGGAUUUAGUAGUAAAAAGCAAAUAGUGUGUCCUUUUGAAUUAGGCUCUGAGGCGCGCACACACCGCCCGUCACUCUCCCCUCUCAACAUAAACCCAACAAACAAUUACUAAUAAUUUAACCUUAAACACGGGGAGGCAAGUCGUAACAUGGUAAGUGUACCGGAAGGUGCACUUGGAAUAAU